Molecule: long non-coding RNA, 844 nt
Organism: Pipistrellus kuhlii (Kuhl's pipistrelle)
Lineage: Eukaryota; Metazoa; Chordata; Mammalia; Chiroptera; Vespertilionidae
Exons: 3
Source: RefSeq, a predicted model, not a curated record
UGGUUUUGCUGGUUUUCUAGGUAUGGAGCUGAAAUACAACUGAGGCCUAGAUGGUAUCUCUUGGGAGAUGACCUUCUAUAUCUGCUGUAAAUUGCUCUGCCAGUUUGUUCAGCUCUCUGUCUCAGUUUCCCUCUUCCACUUGUCCUGGCUUAUUGGCCUCUCUUAGAUAUUUCCAUCCCUUUGAUUUUUCAGAGGUGAUGAGAGAGGAGAGUCUGUCUUCAGUAACUGCUUCCUGCUGACAAGGGUCAUGGUCCCUCCCUGUGCAGGUUAUGAAAGUCUCUCCCUGACUGAUCUAAGGGAGAUAAGGGGAUGGGAACAGAGACUGGACCGAAGCUGCUAACUGAUUCAUUCAAAGUAAGGACAGGCUGGAAUCUUGGAAGCAUCAUUGUAUGUAUGGAAUUAUAUCAUUCCAAAAGUAAAGCCGACAGAUUGCUUCAUAUUUCAUUGACUCAAUUAUUUACUCUUGAAAAUAAGUAGUUCAGUUAAAUUGUGAGUCUCAUUUCAGGAGGUGGUGAUGCAUCUGGAUCUUUAAAGUGAUUCCCGUAUUGUGUAAAUAAGUAAUCAUGUAUUUAAUAAGGAGUAUGCCUGUGAAAAUAGAAGAAAAAACAAAGGUUAAUGAUUAUAAGAAAUUAUAAACCAGUCUCUGAGUCUGUAAGACUAUCAACCAAAUAGGCAUCGAGUUUCUUUUGCUGGAAUAAAAGCAAGCAGGGACAAUCUGACAGAUCCUCUUUAUCUUCAGUUUAAAUAUCUCUGGUGAUGCUAUCAGAUGCUCAGGUAAAUUCUUUAUGGUUGACAUUGAAUCAGUUGUUCUCAAUAACCCCAAGUCAAAGGGUGGGAGAAAAAU